This 446-nucleotide ribosomal RNA is filed under the name uncultured bacterium. RNAcentral's name for it is "partial 16S ribosomal RNA". It matches the Rfam family "Bacterial small subunit ribosomal RNA", at positions 338 to 795 of the family's 1533-position model. The record is from RNAcentral.
CCUACGGGGUGCAGCAGUCGAGAAUCAUUCACAAUGGGGGAAACCCUGAUGGUGCGACGCCGCGUGGGGGAAUGAAGGUCUUCGGAUGGUAAACCCCUGUCAUGUGGGAGCAAAUUAAAAAGAUAGUACCACAAGAGGAAGAGACGGCUAACUCUGUGCCAGCAGCCGCGGUAAUACAGAGGUCUCAAGCGUGGUUCGGAAUCACUGGGCGUAAAGCGUGCGUAGGCUGUUUCGUAAGUCGUGUGUGAAAGGCGCGGGCUCAACCCGCGGACGGCACAUGAUACUGCGAGACUAGAGUAAUGGAGGGGGAUGCGGAAUUCGCGGUGUAGCAGUGAAAUGCGUAGAUAUCGAGAGGAACACUCGUGGCGAAGGCGGGUUCCUGGACAUUAACUGACGCUGAGGCACGAAGGCCAGGGGAGCGAAAGGGAUUAGAUACCCGAGUAGUC